RNAcentral lists this unclassified non-coding RNA (371 nucleotides) under uncultured Tolypocladium. RNAcentral's name for it is "sequence contains ITS2". The stretch from base 1 to 154 matches the Rfam family "5.8S ribosomal RNA". The record is from RNAcentral. Lineage: Eukaryota; Fungi; Ascomycota; Sordariomycetes; Hypocreales; Clavicipitaceae.
AACUUUUGGCAACGGAUCACUUGGCUCUGGCAUCGAUGAAGAACGCAGCGAAAUGCGAUAAGUAAUGUGAAUUGCAGAAUUCAGUGAAUCAUCGAAUCUUUGAACGCACAUUGCGCCCGCCAGUAUUCUGGCGGGCAUGCCUGUUCGAGCGUCAUUUCAACCCUCAAGCCCCAGCCGGCUUGGUGUUGGGGACCGGCCCCGGCCGCCCCCCAAAUGCAGUGGCGACCUCGCCGCAGCCUCCCCUGCGUAGUAGCACAACCUCGCACCGGAGCGCGGAGACGGUCACGCCGUAAAACGCCCAACUUCUCAGAGUUGACCUCGGAUCAGGUAGGAAUACCCGCUGAACUUAAGCAUAUCAAUAAGCGGAGGCU